Molecule: transfer-messenger RNA, 358 nt
Filed under: uncultured Prevotella sp.
Lineage: Bacteria; Pseudomonadati; Bacteroidota; Bacteroidia; Bacteroidales; Prevotellaceae
Rfam family: transfer-messenger RNA
About the family: Bacterial tmRNA, also known as 10Sa RNA or SsrA, is named for its dual tRNA and mRNA-like properties. Its role is to liberate the mRNA from a stalled ribosome.
Source: RNAcentral
AGCACGCGGAGCCUCGUUGGCUAGCUCCUUAAUCUGAGUGAACAAAAAUUAAUUGGCGAAAACAAUUACGCUCUCGCUGCCUAACCGAAGUACAGUAAGUUACUGGCUUAAUCGCGUCACAAGGUGAUGCGACGAGACACCGCUCCGAGGAUGUCGUUCCGAAUCCAAAGAUAAAGUGGUGCAGGUAAAAUCGGAAAUAGUUCACGGAGGCCCCGUUCCGCGGAUGAAAUUUUAGGGGAUAAGGCGGCAGUUGGUGGUCCGGGUCUUGCUGUCGCACGAAAACCGAAGGCCGGAAUAAGCGUGUAGAAAGCACAUGAUUUCCUUGUGCGGACGUGGGUUCGAAUCCCACCAGCUCCAC